This 133-nucleotide ribosomal RNA is filed under the name Usnea intermedia. RNAcentral describes it as "5.8S ribosomal RNA". It matches the Rfam family "5.8S ribosomal RNA", at positions 3 to 135 of the family's 154-position model. Rfam says of the family: 5.8S ribosomal RNA (5.8S rRNA) is a component of the large subunit of the eukaryotic ribosome. The record is from RNAcentral. Lineage: Eukaryota; Fungi; Ascomycota; Lecanoromycetes; Lecanorales; Parmeliaceae.
CUUUCAACAACGGAUCUCUGGGUUCCNGCAUCGAUGAAAAACGCACCGAANGGCGAUAAGUAAGGGGAAUNGCAAAAUUCAGGGAAUCAUCGAANCUUUGAACGCACAUNGCGCCCCUCGGUAUUCCGGGGGG